RNAcentral lists this ribosomal RNA (442 nucleotides) under uncultured bacterium. RNAcentral's name for it is "partial 16S ribosomal RNA". It matches the Rfam family "Bacterial small subunit ribosomal RNA", at positions 338 to 795 of the family's 1533-position model. The record is from RNAcentral.
CCUACGGGAGGCAGCAGUGGGGAAUAUUGGGCAAUGGGCGCAAGCCUGACCCAGCAACGCCGCGUGAAGGAAGAAGGCUUUCGGGUUGUAAACUUCUUUUAAGAGGGAAGAGCAGAAGACGGUACCUCUUGAAUAAGCCAUGGCUAACUACGUGCCAGCAGCCGCGGUAAUACGUAGGUGGCAAGCGUUGUCCGGAUUUACUGGGUGUAAAGGGUGUAUAGCCGGGCAGACAAGUUAGAUGUGAAAUCCCGUGGCUAAACCACGGAACUGCAUUUGAAACUGUCGGUCUUGAGUAUCAGAGAGGCAGGCGGAAUUCCUAGUGUAGCGGUGAAAUGCGUAGAUAUUAGGAAGAACUCCGGUGGCGAAGGCAGCCUGCUGGACGACAACUGACGGUGAGGCGCGAAAGCGUGGGGAUCAAACAGGAUUAGAUACCCCGGUAGUC